RNAcentral lists this ribosomal RNA (207 nucleotides) under uncultured bacterium. RNAcentral describes it as "partial 16S ribosomal RNA". It matches the Rfam family "Bacterial small subunit ribosomal RNA", at positions 568 to 774 of the family's 1533-position model. The record is from RNAcentral.
CAUGUAGGCGGCUCGUCAAGUCUGAUGUGAAAGCCCUGGGCUCAACCCAGGAAGUGCAUUGGAAACUGGCGAACUUGAGUACGGGAGAGGAAAGUGGAAUUUCGAGUGUAGGGGUGAAAUCCGUAGAUAUUCGAAGGAACACCAGUGGCGAAGGCGGCUUUCUGGACCGAUACUGACGCUGAGGCUCGAAAGCGUGGGUAGCAAACA